AAGUCGUAACAAGGUUUCCGUAGGUGAACCUGCGGAAGGAUCAUUAACACUUUUCCCCUUUCCCUAACCUGAGGCAGAGUGACGAACGAGACGUUGAAAAAGGUCUUUGUUCGAAGCUCUCUUCAGACCACCCCUUUGUGUGCACUUGUUGAGAGGGAGAAGCACUCUUUGAGCGAAAGCUUUUUGGGUGUAGAUCUCUCUUACUUUUUUCCAUUUUUUAAUUUUUUUUUACCCCUUUUCUAAUGCGAUAGACUGAAAUAAUGACCUAUUGGAAGGGUCUGAAACCUCCAAAAAUUGUAAUACAACUCUUAGCAACGGAUAUCUAGGCUCUC
RNAcentral lists this unclassified non-coding RNA (332 nucleotides) under fungal sp. RNAcentral's name for it is "partial internal transcribed spacer region". The stretch from base 1 to 46 matches the Rfam family "Eukaryotic small subunit ribosomal RNA", at positions 1786 to 1831 of the family's 1831-position model. Lineage: Eukaryota; Fungi. The record is from RNAcentral.